Molecule: transfer RNA, 92 nt
Filed under: Clostridia bacterium
Lineage: Bacteria; Bacillati; Bacillota; Clostridia
Also listed under: 1 other name
Description: tRNA-Ser
Rfam family: tRNA
About the family: Transfer RNA (tRNA) molecules are approximately 80 nucleotides in length. Their secondary structure includes four short double-helical elements and three loops (D, anti-codon, and T loops).
Source: RNAcentral
GGAGAUGUCGCCUAGUCCGGUCGAGGGCGCACGAUUGGAAAUCGUGUAGCUCGGAAACGAGCUCGAGAGUUCGAAUCUCUCCAUCUCCGCCA